Molecule: long non-coding RNA, 1159 nt
Organism: Armigeres subalbatus
Lineage: Eukaryota; Metazoa; Arthropoda; Insecta; Diptera; Culicidae
Exons: 3
Source: RefSeq, a predicted model, not a curated record
UAUUGGCAGAGAUAGCUUCCCAGUUCUCCAAUCACAUUCUAUCGGUUCGGAAGGUUGACGCUCAGUCGCGAACGAUACCUCGGCGAGUAAACACGCGCGAACAACAUUUCUGGUCGUUGAACGUCGCUUGGUCAUCGCUGUGCCGUUGCAGUUGCAUCAGAUGCAAUAACCGAUAUCCAGCGCAAAGUUUUCGUUCGCGUGGUUUGAGGAUGUUUGUUGUUGCUGGCUAUAGGAACAACGUUUGAUGGAACGCUCUUUUAUGUAAUUGGCGACGGUAGGGAAGGAAUAGAAUCGUCUUGGUAAACAUUCCCUUCACGACCUGGAAUCAGCUGGACUUUGCACUUCGUGGGUGCGUGGAUAGUGUACGACUAGUGACGUCAAGUUCUGUUUAAAGUUGGUGACUGGAAGAAUUUGCGCGAAUGGUGUUCUUUGAAGCUUAAAAUGUUUGUAUGCUCUAUCUGAAAAUUGUUGACUGUGGAUUAUCCAACCGAUUCGUAUAAAUGAAUCUCAUAGCCAAAACAAUCAGGGAUUGUUCACCGCGUGUUGUUUACCAAUUAGGUCGAACAGAGUAGAAAAAUAGCUAAACCGAAGUAGGGUAACCGGAGGGUUCGCGAUUUGUGCUUUUUGGUGUCCGCAAGUAAUAGACGCUUGAAGCAGCUGAGGCCGCCCCUGCCUGGCCCUUCGCGGGUUCCUCGUUUGCUGCCGCUCACCUGGCGUGAGCGUGUGCGUGUGGAUCUCUUGUUGGCACAUUGCUUCAAAUAGUCACCUAUAAUGAACGAUCGAACCAAACAGCAACUGCCAGCGAACAGUCCGUAAAGAAGACCUUCCACACCCGGAUCGUGGUUGUCGUUGCCGUCGUCGGUUGCAGUUCAGUGCACAAUAAUUGCCACACUUGGUUGGCGCCCGUCGUCGGCUUUCUUGAUGACGUGACAUGGGCAUGAACGUCAUUUGUAUCAUCGGAACCGCCAAGCCCGAUUCAUCAGCGUUAUUAGUGGAAGCAGCAGCCAGACCGGCGGGCGGAAUUUACAGUGAUAGUGAUAUCGGUUGUAGUAGCUUCCAGCAACAGACAUGUGUCUCCUUCUGAGUAUUAGCAAACAUCGUCAACUCCUGGUUACAGUUCCUGUGUUUUUCGCGUAGUUAAUUAGUUUUCCAGAUUUGA